RNAcentral lists this ribosomal RNA (526 nucleotides) under Lorelus mareensis. RNAcentral's name for it is "partial 16S ribosomal RNA". It matches the Rfam family "Bacterial large subunit ribosomal RNA", at positions 1808 to 2606 of the family's 2925-position model. Lineage: Eukaryota; Metazoa; Arthropoda; Insecta; Coleoptera; Tenebrionidae. The record is from RNAcentral.
CAAAAACAUGUCCUUUUGAUUAAGAUUAAAGGUCUUGCCUGCCCAAUGAUUAAUUUUAAUGGCCGCAGUAUUUUGACUGUGCAAAGGUAGCAUAAUCAUUAGUUUCUUAAUUAGAAGCUGGAAUGAAUGGUUUGAUGAAAAAUUUUCUGUCUCAAUAAGAUUUUAUUAGAAUUUAAAUUUUAAGUUAAAAUGCUUAAAUAAUUUAAAAAGACGAGAAGACCCUAUAGAGUUUAAUAAUUGGUUAUUAACAUAUAUUUUUGAUUUUAUUAGUAAUUUUUAAUUAAUUAUUUUGUUGGGGUGAUAUAAAAAUUAAAAUAACUUUUUAUUUAUUUAAACAUUAAUUUAUGAACGUUUGAUCUUUACUUUGGGAUUAAAAGAUUAAAUUACCUUAGGGAUAACAGCGUAAUUUUUUUGGAAAGUUCUUAUUGAUAAAAAAGUUUGCGACCUCGAUGUUGGAUUAAAAUUUAAUUUUGGUGUAGAAGCUAAAUAUUUAGGUCUGUUCGACCUUUAAAAUUUUACAUGAUCU